This 752-nucleotide ribosomal RNA is filed under the name Peribacillus simplex. Its description in RNAcentral is "bacterial SSU rRNA". It matches the Rfam family "Bacterial small subunit ribosomal RNA", at positions 12 to 748 of the family's 1533-position model. Lineage: Bacteria; Bacillati; Bacillota; Bacilli; Caryophanales; Bacillaceae. The record is from RNAcentral.
UUUGAUCCUGGCUCAGGACGAACGCUGGCGGCGUGCCUAAUACAUGCAAGUCGAGCGAAUCGAUGGGAGCUUGCUCCCUGAGAUUAGCGGCGGACGGGUGAGUAACACGUGGGCAACCUGCCUAUAAGACUGGGAUAACUUCGGGAAACCGGAGCUAAUACCGGAUACGUUCUUUUCUCGCAUGAGAGAAGAUGGAAAGACGGUUUACGCUGUCACUUAUAGAUGGGCCCGCGGCGCAUUAGCUAGUUGGUGAGGUAAUGGCUCACCAAGGCGACGAUGCGUAGCCGACCUGAGAGGGUGAUCGGCCACACUGGGACUGAGACACGGCCCAGACUCCUACGGGAGGCAGCAGUAGGGAAUCUUCCGCAAUGGACGAAAGUCUGACGGAGCAACGCCGCGUGAACGAAGAAGGCCUUCGGGUCGUAAAGUUCUGUUGUUAGGGAAGAACAAGUACCAGAGUAACUGCUGGUACCUUGACGGUACCUAACCAGAAAGCCACGGCUAACUACGUGCCAGCAGCCGCGGUAAUACGUAGGUGGCAAGCGUUGUCCGGAAUUAUUGGGCGUAAAGCGCGCGCAGGUGGUUCCUUAAGUCUGAUGUGAAAGCCCACGGCUCAACCGUGGAGGGUCAUUGGAAACUGGGGAACUUGAGUGCAGAAGAGGAAAGUGGAAUUCCAAGUGUAGCGGUGAAAUGCGUAGAGAUUUGGAGGAACACCAGUGGCGAAGGCGACUUUNNGGUCUGUAACGACANNA